RNAcentral lists this long non-coding RNA (225 nucleotides) under Lathyrus oleraceus (garden pea). RNAcentral's name for it is "Pisum sativum (pea) long non-coding RNA (PSAT_LNC009359)". The record is from RNAcentral. Lineage: Eukaryota; Viridiplantae; Streptophyta; Magnoliopsida; Fabales; Fabaceae.
AAGAUGCUUAUGAUCCUUGAGGUCUUGCAAAUGCAAUGCUAUGAUGCCAUGAGGGAUCUUAGGGCCAAAAUUGGGGUCUUACAGAUACCAAAUCGUACAUGAACGGAGAAAUAGGAGACACAAGGAGCUCCGAUGGUACAUUCAAAGCAGUAAUCCAGACAUAUUUACUCAUUCAACAGUUAUCAAGUCAUUAUGCAUUAUGAUGGAAGUCGAAAUACCUUCGUC